This 429-nucleotide ribosomal RNA is filed under the name Pseudomonadota bacterium. RNAcentral describes it as "Proteobacteria bacterium partial 16S ribosomal RNA". It matches the Rfam family "Bacterial small subunit ribosomal RNA", at positions 355 to 776 of the family's 1533-position model. The record is from RNAcentral. Lineage: Bacteria; Pseudomonadati; Pseudomonadota.
UGGGGAAUAUUGGACAAUGGGCGAAAGCCUGAUCCAGCCAUGCCGCGUGUGUGAAGAAGGUCUUCGGAUUGUAAAGCACUUUAAGUUGGGAGGAAGGGCAGUAAGCGAAUACCUUGCUGUUUUGACGUUACCGACAGAAUAAGCACCGGCUAACUCUGUGCCAGCAGCCGCGGUAAUACAGAGGGGGCAAGCGUUAAUCGGAAUUACUGGGCGUAAAGCGCGCGUAGGUGGUUCGUUAAGUUGAAUGUGAAAGCCCCGGGCGCAACCUGGGAACUGGAUCCAAAACUGGCGAGCUAGAGUAGGGCCGAGGGUGGUGGAAUUUCCUGUGUAGCGGAGAAAUGCGUAGAUAUAGGAAGGAACACCAGUGGCGAAGGCGACCACCUGGGCUCAUACUGACACUGGGGUGCGAAAGCGUGGGGAGCAAACAGG